CAAAACAAAGGGAUGCAUCAUAGGUCACUUCAUUAGAGAAGGGCCUAUGGGUGUCCAGUUACUCAGUGUUUUUAUUAAUUUGGGUUCUAUGCAAAAAAGAAAUCUACCUCAUCUCUUCAUAAGAAUAUCUGGAGGAGGGUCCAGAACCCAAAUGAAAGGUCAGAGUGACCACCAAACAAUUCUUAGCAAUCGAGCUUCAUCUUUGAUAGACUUGGUUGUUAAACAUUUACCAGGACACCCCUCCGUGGGUGACUCAGCCUUUUAGAGAGAGGGAAGGCAGCAGCCAAAACUUCAAAAUCUCAUCCUGCCCUUCUGAAGCCUGUUAACUUCUGGGUGAAAGAGAAUGUGAUCAUUCCCAACUAAUGCCCAGGCUACAGGUUCAGUCUUGCAGAGCCUAGGGUGGAAUGCAGAGUUCCCUGAAGGCACUCGCCCUUGACAUUCCACAAGAAAAAAUAAAUCUCUGUUGAAGGCCCUCA
RNAcentral lists this long non-coding RNA (476 nucleotides) under Phascolarctos cinereus (koala). Its description in RNAcentral is "lncRNA (ENSPCIG00000004367.2)". The record is from RNAcentral. Lineage: Eukaryota; Metazoa; Chordata; Mammalia; Diprotodontia; Phascolarctidae.